UACAGCCAUAUCAUAUUGAAACAUUCGUUCUUGUUCGAUCACCGAAGUUAAGCGACGUUGAGUCCGGUCAGUACCUAGAUGGAUGACCGCUUGGGAAUAUUAGAU
This is a non-coding RNA of Acanthosepion pharaonis, 105 nucleotides long. Lineage: Eukaryota; Metazoa; Mollusca; Cephalopoda; Sepiida; Sepiidae. The record is from the annotation of a GenBank genome assembly.